CUUGCUAUCAAACAUGUAUUUUUAUGAAUAAAAAAUGUGUUCUGAUCAGCUUAAUAUCUGAUACGUCCCCUACAUGAGGACCAGAAUAUUAAACUGAUUUUUGAGCAUUGGCGGGGGUUACUGGAGCCCGCACCUGCCCUGCCGCGGGUUGGCCUGGCAUUGCACUACAGCCAGGAUCGGCCCAUUUUAU
This 190-nucleotide small nuclear RNA is filed under the name Pollicipes pollicipes. Its description in RNAcentral is "U2 spliceosomal RNA". It matches the Rfam family "U2 spliceosomal RNA". Rfam says of the family: U2 is a small nuclear RNA (snRNA) component of the spliceosome (involved in pre-mRNA splicing). The record is from RNAcentral. Lineage: Eukaryota; Metazoa; Arthropoda; Thecostraca; Pollicipedomorpha; Pollicipedidae.